AGUUUGAUCAUGGCUCAGAUUGAACGCUGGCGGGAUGCUUUACACAUGCAAGUCGAACGGCAGCACGGACUUCGGUCUGGUGGCGAGUGGCGAACGGGUGAGUAAUGUAUCGGAACGUCACCAGCAAGUGGGAUAACUACGCGAAAAGCGUAGCCAAUACCGCAUACGCUCCCUUCGGGAAAGCGGGGACCCCGGGCCUCGCACUAUUAGAGCGGCCGAUAUCGGAUUAGCUUAGUUGUGGGUAACGCUCACUAAGGGCGACGAUCCGUAGCUGGUUUGAGAGGACGACCAGCCACACCGGGACUGAGACACACGGCCCAGACUCCUACGGAGGCAGCAGUGGGGAAUUUUGGACAAUGGGGAAAACCCUGAUCCAGCCAUCCCGCGUGUGGGUGCGAUGAAGGUGGCCUGGGUUGAAAGCACUUUUAACAGAAAACAAACCACAACAAACACCUGCAGCAAACGAUCUGAUCACACCUUACAGAAUAAGCACCGGCUAACUACGUGCCAGCAGCUGCGGUAAUACGUAGGGUGCAAGCGUUAAUCGGAAUUACUGGGCGCAAGCGUGCGCAGGCGGUUCGGAAAGAAAGAUGUGAAAUCCCAGGGCUUAACUUUGGAACUGCAUUUUUGAGACUACCGAGCUAGGAGUGUACAGAGGGAGGUGGAAUUCCGCGUGUAGCAGUGAAAUGCGUAGAUAUGCGAGGAACAUCGAUGGCGAAGGCACUUCUGGAUAACACUGACGCUCAUGCACGCAGCGGGAGCAAACAGGAUUAGAUACCCUGGGUAGUCCACGCCUCAAAACGAUGUCAAUUAGCUGUUGGGGCCUUCGGGCCUUGCAGGCGCAUGCAGGUUGACCGCCUCGGGGAGUACGGUCGCAAGAUUAAAACCUGAAGGAAUUGAUUUCUGGGACCCGCACAAGCGGUGGAUGAUGUGGAUUAAUUCGAUGCAACGGGAAAACUUUACCUACCCUUGGAUGUCUGGAAUCCCGAAGAGAUUUGGGAGUGCUCGCAAGAGAACCGGAACACAGGUGCUGCAUGGCUGUCGUCAGCUCGUGUCGUGAGAUGUUGGUUAAGUCCUGCAACGAGCGCAACCCUUGUCAUUAGUUGCUACGAAAGGGCACUCUAAUGAGACUGCCGGCAUGUCCCGAGGAAGGUGGGGAUGACGUCAAGUCCUCAUGGCCCUUAUGGUAGGGCUUCACACGUCAUAAUGGUCGGGACAGAGGGUCGCCAACCCGCGAGGGAGCCAAUCCCCAGAAAACCCGAUCGUAGUCCGGAUCGCAGUCUGCAACUCGACUGCGUGAAGUCGGAAUCGCUAGUAAUUCUGCGGGAUCAGCAUGUCGCGGUGAAUACGUUCCCGGUCUUGUACACCGCCUGUCACACCAUGGGGAGUGGGUUUUACCAGAAGUAGUUAGCCUAACCGUAAGGAGGGCGAUUACCGCUGUAGGAUUCAUGACUGGGGUGAAGUCGUAACAAGGUAG
RNAcentral lists this ribosomal RNA (1477 nucleotides) under uncultured Bordetella sp. RNAcentral's name for it is "partial 16S-23S ribosomal RNA intergenic spacer". It matches the Rfam family "Bacterial small subunit ribosomal RNA". The record is from RNAcentral. Lineage: Bacteria; Pseudomonadati; Pseudomonadota; Betaproteobacteria; Burkholderiales; Alcaligenaceae.